CUGGCUAUUUUUGAAUGACCAGUCCGAAAACUGGCUAGACCGUACUAUUUUUACUUGCUUGGGUAAUUUGUUGGGCUCAGGUUGGCACAUGUAAUUGACGGCCCAAUACCAAUUAGGUCCAUACAAGAACAACUUAAUAAUCACAUAAAAGGAGAGCUGAACACUUGGACAAUUUUUGGUAACUCUGUUACAACUUCCUAACCAAUUCUUCUUCUCUCUUCUCUAACUUCCUUCUUCUCUUCUUCUCACAGGUUAUGCAAUGGAGUUUUGUAAUUCAUCAACAUAACCAAUUGAAUUGUUCAGUGAAUAGAACUUGUUGACUCAUUCUUCUUUAUACUUGUUCAAUAAUUGUUCUCAAUUGUUCUAGUACAUAACAAAUUGGUAUCAGAGCAUCGUCAUGGCCCAAUGACGAUUCUAGAAACUCGAUCAAAGGCUUCAGAAGCUAAUGUAAAGAAGCUAGAGAUGCAGUUACAAAGUUACAUGGUAGAAACAAAUAAAAAAUUGGAGUUCAAUGACUCAAAAAUGGAUGACUUAAGCCGGAAAAUGGAUGUAAUGAUGGAGAAGCUUUUCGCAAGCAAGGAUGAAAUUCUAGGCAGUCCACCAAUGGGAGCUCAUCAUGCAGAAGGAUAUAGCAGUAGAUCAAGGGCGGUUGAAAUUCUUGAGAACUCCAAUGGUAGGUUCUACGCGAACAUCUCAUCUUCUAGGAUUGACUGUCCAUAUUUUGAAGAAGGUGAUCCCAGAUCUUGGCUGCGAAAAUAUAAAAGGUACUUCCAUUACAAUCACAUAAAUGAUCCACAACACAAAUUAGAAACUACGGUAUUGCAUCUCAAUGGUAGGGCUGAAUCUUGGUACUUCUCUUAUCAAGUGAGUAAGAGAAUUGUGAGAUGGCCUGAUGUUGUUGAGGAAAUGUGUAAGAGAUUUAAUAAUUCUGUUAAUAGUAACCUAAAUCUACUUUGGAAAUUCAAAAGGAUUGAGCAGAUUGGUACUGUGAAUGAGUACCUAAAAAAUUUGCGAAUCUGAAGGCUUGGGUGGUGGUGAUCAAGUAUCCAACAAUUUCUUAAUAGGACUUAAGGAAGAAAUCAUGCAUACAAUUAAAAUGCUUGACCCCUUUUUCUUGAGUCAAGAUGUAGAGAAAGCUAGACACAAGGAGGAAAUGAUAGACUCUAUGAAUAAGAACAUAAUGGGUGGGGCCAGACAGUCAGGACAUUAUAGUUCCAACAACAAUGGUUUAGGGAGCAGAUCCUCUUCUUUAUCCAGAAUGAGAGUAACUGUAACCUAACAAAAAAAUAGUUGGGCUGCCUCAUACAAGUUGAUGUACCCAUGAAGGUAGCUGCCGCCCAGGGAGAAUACCUAAGUUAAGAGUGUUGGACAUUGAUAUCUUGUCCUCAGUUUAAAUAGAAAACUAAUGGGAUUGUCUUUCAACACAAAUUAAGAGUGUUGGACAUUGGUGGGGGUGAUGUAGUACUUGGAGUUGACUGGAUGAGACAAUCCAGUGCUAUUUGACUUCAUAGAAUACAGACUGCAGGUGAGUGUGAAAGGGAAAAAGAUAUAUUUGAAAGGGCAUUUUGAAGAAGGGGAGUUGCAGAGUAUGGCAACUAGUGGUGUCAAACAACUGCUUAAGAAAUGACCGUUGUUGUGGGCUCACUUGUUCACUAUUACUACCAGUGCAACAGAAAAAUCUAAGGGAAUACUAGAGCAAAUCAAAGAAGUGCUUGAUAUUUCCCAAAUAUUUUUGUGGAGCCUAAGUCCUUGCCACCCAAGAGGAAUCAUGAUAACUUUAUUCCAUUGAAACCUGAAGCAUCACCAGUUAUCAUAAGACCUUACAUGUAUAAUUACUUUCAAAAGAAUGAAAUAGAAAAACAAGUGAAUGAAAUGCUCAAUAAUGACAUCAUACAACCCAGCCAUUCCCCUUUUUAUUCUGCUGUGUUGUUAGUAAAAAAGAAGGAUGUCAGUUGGAGGUUUUGUGUUGACUAUAUGGAGUUAAACAAGAUGAUCAUUAAGGAUAAAUUUUCUAUUCCAUUGGUAGAUUAUCUAAUUGAUGAGCUUAAUGAGUCUUGCAGCUAUUCUAAGAUUGAUCUAAGGGUUCGAUAUCAUCAAAUAAGAAUGGGGGAUACUGAUAUAUUCAAAAUUGCAUUUAAGACACAUCUAGGUCACUAUGAAUUUAAGGUCAUGCCCUUUGGCUUGACCAAUGCCCCUACUACGUUCCAAAGUCUCAUGAAUCAUGUGUUUAAACCAUUCUUGAGGAAGUUUGUCUUGGUAUUCUUUGAUGACAUUCUGGUUUAUAGUUCUUCCAUGGAAAGUCAUGUCUUACAUUUACAAAAGGUGCUAGAAGUGUUGUAGAGGGAAAAACUUUAUGCCAAGCUGUCCAAGUGUGCUUUUGGUCAAGACAAAGUAGAAUACUUAGGCCAGAUUAUAUCAGAAAAAUGAGUGGCAACUGAUCCUGCUAAGGUGGAGGCUAUGUUGAAUUGGCAUGCACCUAAAUCUGUGAAAGCACUAAGGGGAUUCCUCGGACUAACUGGUUAUUACAGGAGGUUUGUAGGAAAUUAUGGAAUUAUCAGCAGGACACUCACUAAUCUACUCAAGAAGAACUCAUUUUUGUGGUCAGAGGAGGAUGAUCCGUCAUUUCAGGAGCUUAAAGUAGCCAUGUCUACAGUACAAUAGAAGGGGGUUGGCCAAACUCUUAGGUUUGGACUAUGAGGUUCAGUACAAGAAAGGAAUAGAUAAUAAGGUAGCUGAUGCAUUGUCAAGGAGACAAGAAGAAGGACCUACAGUUAUGGCUAUCUCUACAACACAAGAUACUUGGUUAUAGUAGGUGAGCAAUAGUUAAGAGAACUGCCAGUCUCUUCAAACAACAGACCUGACUACUCUCUACACCAAGGAAUCAUAAGAUACAAACAGAAGAUUUAUGUGGGCAAGAGUACUGAAUUAAGGAACAAAGUAUUACAUUCCAUGCAUCACUCUGCACUUGGAGGACAUUCAAGUCAGCAGGGCACCUACAGAAGGCUGCAACUGGUUUUCUACUAGCCAAAUAUCAAAUCAGAGGUGUUCAAGUGGGUGGGUGAGUGUAAUGUUUGUCAAAGGGUCAAGACUAAAAACAUUCACUCUCCAGAGUUGCUAUAGCCUUUCCCUAUUCCAGAAAAGGCCUGACAAGACAUUUCUCUAGAUUUUGUUUAAGGUUUACCAUUCUCUGGGCACAAAAAUGUAGUUUUAGUUGUGAUAGAUAGGUUUACAAAAUAUGGGCAUUUCCUAGCCAUCAAACAACCUUUUACAGCUCAAGAGGUGGUAGAAUUAUUCCUAAAAGACGUGUAUAGACUGCAUGGGCUGCCUAGGUCCAUAGUUUCCCUAUAUUCACAAGUCAUUUUUGGCUGCAUCUCUUCAAGACUAUGGGCACUACACUCAAUAUGAGUACAGCCUAUAAUCCAUAGUCAGAUGGUCAAACAGAAAGACUAAAUGGAUGCAUGGAAACCUAUUUGAGAGCUAUGGUUUUCGAUAAUCCUAAACAUUGGGUGAGAUGGCUACACUUGGCAGUGUGGUAGUACAACACUAACUUCCAUAAUUCCCUACAAACCACUCCCUUCCAUGCCUUAUAUGGGUACCAACCACCACAUAUACCUAGUGGUUCAUUACCAGGUACAGGACAAUCUACAAUAAGGGUAGGUGUGGCUCAACGCCAACACAUGAUUCAGACUCUCAAGGACAAUUUGACUAGAGCUGAGUCUCGCAUGAAAUUCUAUGUUGACAGACUCCGGUCUGAGAGAGUAUUGGAAGUGGGAGAUCUAGUCUACCUUAAAUUGCAACCAUACUAGCAUUCCUCUAUCGAUGUACGCAGAAAUGUAAAACUGUGUGCACGCUAUUAUGGUCCAUACAAUAUUCUACAGAAGAUUGGGUCAGUUGUUUACCGGGUUGGAGCUUCCAGCGGGUUCACAGCUUCACCCCAUUUUUCAUGUCUCACAGCUAAAACGUCGAGUGGACCAACUAUUGUUGGAGCUUCCAGCGGGUUCACAGCUUCACCCCAUUUUUCAUGUCUCACAGCUAAAACGUCGAGUGGACCAACUAUUGUUGCUCACCGCCAACCUCCUAGUUGUGACGCUGAUUGUCAGAUCCAGAUCCAGCCAGUUGCAAUUAUCAAAAGAAAAAUGAUGAAGGUCAACAAUGGGGUCAGUGUGAAGGUCUUGAUUCAAUGGGCUAAUCUGAGUGUGGAGGAAGCGAUAUAGGAAGACUAGGCUAUAUCAAGAAUCGAUUCCCUGAUUUCGUUGCUCAACAAAGACCUUGAUUCAAAGGGGAAGGGAUUGUCAUGUUCAAAGUUAACUAGGCACGGAAUUAGGAAAGUAGAUGAAUGCAUUAAAAAAGUAGAUGAACGGGUCUCAACACAUGUAAAUGGAGGGGUUUAAAAGAGAUAAGGGUCAAGUCCACUAAGGAGCUGCUUGGGUAAUUCGUUGGACUCAGGUUGGCACAUGUAAUUGACGGCCCAAUACCAAUUAGGCCCAUACGAGAACAACUUAAUAAACACAUCAAAGUAGAGUUGAACACUUAAUACAAUCUCUGGUAAUUCUGUUACAAAUUCCUAACCACUUCUUCUUCCUCUUUUCUCUAACUUCCCUCUUCUCUUCUUCUCAUAGGUUAUGAAACGGAGUAUUGUAAUUCAUCAAUGUAACCAAUUGAAUGGUUCAGUGAAUAAAACUUGUUGACUCAUUCUCCUUUAUACUUGUUCAUUAAUUGUUCUCAAUUCUUCUAGUACAUAACAUACGUAAAUAAAA
This 4757-nucleotide long non-coding RNA is filed under the name Nicotiana tabacum (common tobacco). RNAcentral's name for it is "long non-coding RNA (NTAB_LNC000138)". Lineage: Eukaryota; Viridiplantae; Streptophyta; Magnoliopsida; Solanales; Solanaceae. The record is from RNAcentral.